Molecule: ribosomal RNA, 267 nt
Filed under: uncultured bacterium
Lineage: Bacteria
Description: partial 16S ribosomal RNA
Rfam family: Bacterial small subunit ribosomal RNA
Source: RNAcentral
UGGCGACCGGCGCACGGGUGAGUAACGCGUAUCCAACCUGCCCUUUACUAUGGGACAGCCCGUCGAAAGGCGGAUUAAUACCGUAUGUUGUCAUGUUGAUGCAUAUUUUCAUGACCAAAGGCUUCGGCCGGUAAAGGAUGGGGAUGCGUCUGAUUAGCUUGCCGGCGGGGUAACGGCCCACCGGGGCGACGAUCAGUAGGGGUUCUGAGAGGAAGGUCCCCCACAUUGGAACUGAGACACGGUCCAAGCUCCUACGGAAGGCAGCAG